GCCUCAGGCAGGAUCAGGGGUCACAGCCACACCUGCAGGACUGAGCAGGUGAAAACAAGUCAGGCUGUGAAAGAAAUCCCCCUUUUCUAAACUUUGCCUUGGAGUCCAUGACCUGAUGGGACAGGACUCAGACCUGGGGCAGGGAGGUCUGGGUUUUCCUCCAACCCUGUCACCUUUGUGAAGCUGAUUCUUUUCUGUGCCUCAGUGGCCUUGUCCGCAAUGCAGACUAAACCCCCUUUCACAGUCACCUUCCAGAACCCGAGUACACGUCACAAGCUCCCAGGCAUCCACAGGGGCACUGCACUUCACAGUUGAUGGAAAUGCUUCUCCUCCCUCAUCUCUGAGGAAAUGAAGGUCUGAUGGGAUUGAAAGCCAUCUACAGGUGGCCUUGCCACUUCUAAAUGAAAAAGGCGAAAAGUGGGAAGUUGCAUUCAGCGUGUGUUUUGCACGAAUGGUUGUAGAGGCAGCAAGAUGGGCCCGGCCAACUUCUUUCCUGGAACCACUCAGCAUCUCAGCAUCUCCACAUCUCAGCACCUCCGAAUCUCAGCAUCCAGCUCGAGCUGUGAACCACAUCUGUGGUGCAUCUGUGCUUUAUCUGGUUUAUUUCGUGGACCUAAGAGGAAACCGAAAGGUCACAGAUGGAGGGAGCACACCAUCCCGGGUGACACAGACACAUCCAGUGACCUGAAGUAACUUGGGCAAUGCAGUAACUCAGAAGCCGUUUCCACACCUGGAAACGAAAAUAAUCAUCCGCAGAGCUGUUCAGUCUGAUCACUGGUUCCAUGAGACUUAGACUGGAAAAGUCAACUGACCAUACAAAAAG
RNAcentral lists this long non-coding RNA (823 nucleotides) under Sus scrofa (pig). Its description in RNAcentral is "lncRNA (ENSSSCG00030014746.1)". Lineage: Eukaryota; Metazoa; Chordata; Mammalia; Artiodactyla; Suidae. The record is from RNAcentral.